Molecule: non-coding RNA, 148 nt
Organism: Nomascus leucogenys (northern white-cheeked gibbon)
Lineage: Eukaryota; Metazoa; Chordata; Mammalia; Primates; Hylobatidae
Rfam family: Metazoan signal recognition particle RNA
About the family: The signal recognition particle (SRP) is a universally conserved ribonucleoprotein. It is involved in the co-translational targeting of proteins to membranes. The eukaryotic SRP consists of a 300-nucleotide 7S RNA and six proteins: SRPs 72, 68, 54, 19, 14, and 9.
Source: Rfam
GCCGGGCAUGGUGGCGGGUGCCUGUAAUCCCAGCUACUCAGGAGGCUGAGGCAGGAGAAUCGCUUGAACCCAGGAGGCGGAGGUCGCAGUGCACCGAGAUCGUACCACUGCACUCCAGCCUGGGUGACAGAGUGAAACUCUGUCUCAA